GGAUCCAGACUUUGAUUAUGGCUCAGGAUGAACGCUAGCUACAGGCUUAACACAUGCAAGUCGAGGGGCAGCAUGAACUUAGCUUGCUAAGUUUGAUGGCGACCGGCGCACGGGUGAGUAACACGUAUCCAACCUUCCGUUUACUCAGGGAUAGCCUUUCGAAAGAAAGAUUAAUACCUGAUAGUAUGGUGAGAUUGCAUGAUAGCACCAUUAAAGAUUUAUUGGUAAACGAUGGGGAUGCGUUCCAUUAGGUAGUAGGCGGGGUAACGGCCCACCUAGCCGACGAUGGAUAGGGGUUCUGAGAGGAAGGUCCCCCACAUUGGAACUGAGACACGGUCCAAACUCCUACGGGAGGCAGCAGUGAGGAAUAUUGGUCAAUGGGCGAGAGCCUGAACCAGCCAAGUAGCGUGAAGGAUGAAGGUCCUACGGAUUGUAAACUUCUUUUAUACGGGAAUAAAGUAUCCUACGUGUAGGAUUUUGUAUGUACCGUAUGAAUAAGCAUCGGCUAACUCCGUGCCAGCAGCCGCGGUAAUACGGAGGAUGCGAGCGUUAUCCGGAUUUAUUGGGUUUAAAGGGAGCGCAGACG
RNAcentral lists this ribosomal RNA (586 nucleotides) under uncultured Bacteroidota bacterium. RNAcentral's name for it is "bacterial SSU rRNA". It matches the Rfam family "Bacterial small subunit ribosomal RNA", at positions 1 to 577 of the family's 1533-position model. Lineage: Bacteria; Pseudomonadati; Bacteroidota. The record is from RNAcentral.